Molecule: ribosomal RNA, 245 nt
Filed under: uncultured bacterium
Lineage: Bacteria
Description: partial 16S ribosomal RNA
Rfam family: Bacterial small subunit ribosomal RNA
Source: RNAcentral
GACAGAGGUGGCAAGCGUUGUUCGGAAUCACUGGGCUUAAAGCGCGUGUAGGCGGCUCAUUAAGUGUCUUGUGAAAUCCCUCGGCUCAACCGAGGAACGGCUGGGCAUACUGAUGAGCUUGAGGCAGGGAUGGGCGAGUGGAACUCUUGGUGGAGCGGUGAAAUGCGUAGAUAUCAAGAGGAACGCCGGUGGUGAAGACGACUCGCUGGGCCUGUCCUGACGCUGAGACGCGAAAGCCAGGGGAG